Long non-coding RNA from Triticum aestivum (bread wheat), 2139 nucleotides. RefSeq lists it as uncharacterized. The record is from RefSeq and is a predicted model, not a curated record. The transcript has 13 exons. NCBI's taxonomy places the organism in Eukaryota, Viridiplantae, Streptophyta, Magnoliopsida, Poales, Poaceae.
CAGUGUCGCAGAGGAGAGGAGAUGAGAGGAGAAGAGGUGUAGCAGCAGGCCAAGAUCACCGUGUAGUUCCCGAGCUUCCAGGGAAGGGACGGUGAUGGUGCCCCUGCAGCAGCAGGGAAAAAGUGCGACGACGAUGCGAGCUCGGGCGGGUUGGGUGGCAAGCUGAGCUUCAAGUGGGAGGCCGGCAGCUGCUCGUCAACGUCGUCGGUGGUGUACUUGCCGCUGUCGUUCGUGUCAGCGCCGGCUAGGAGGAUGGAGCAGCAGGCCAAGAUCCAUGAUUAUAUCAUUGAGAAGCUCCAGGAUGACAAGAGGGUCAGCUGGUAGCUCUGCUUCCUCGUCUACAAGCACUCGAGCACCGCCAUGGCUGGGCUGCUGAUGCAGGCCGUUGGGUACAAAUUCGAUUACGAUGAUUUCCACAGCUUUGUUGAUGGUCUGUUGGCUUACAAAAAGUUAACCCCGACGCCUCCCGCGUGGCGCCUCCAGUGGCCACUUCUUCAUUUCCGGCAUACAUAAGCCCACUUGAUCCAUCUCCUCUUUCUCUAACGCUGUAUGUGCCCACGGGUUGAGUUAUGCGACCGUGGGAGUUUCACACUGCACACUGAUUAGUGCAAUUGAGCAUGUUUAUUUAUUUGUAUGUAAAAAUAUAAAAUCCUUCUAACACUCGCUGGCCAUUGGUGAGCAGCAGGCCAUCUUCACCUCCGACCCAGCACCAACAUGCAGUUUCUGAGCUUCCAGGGAAGGGGCGGUGGUAGUGCCCUGCAGCUGUAGCAUCAUAGUGUGACGAUGGCAUGAGCUCUGGCGGGUUCGGCGGGAAGCUGAGCUUCAAGUGGGAGGCGGGCGGCUGCUCGUUGGCAUUGUCUUUGAUGGUCGGUGGUGUACUCGCCGCUGUCGUUCUUGUCGGCACUACCCAGGAGGACAAAUUUGCACACACCGUCGAGGGGUAACGGGAACUACAGCUACAGCAAUUGGUACACAUCGCCGUUGUCGUUGGCGAGCCAGAAGAUCUCGACGUCAGAGGCGUGCCGGAUGGUGCAAUGUAUUACCACUGACUCGACUCAGUUCCUGAGCUUCGAGGGAAGGGGCGGUGGUGGUGCCCCUGCAGCAGCCGAAACAAAGUGCAACGACAGCGCGAGCUCGGGCAGGUCGGGUGGCAAGAUGAGCUUCAAGUGGGAGGUUGGCAGCUGCUCGUCGGCGUCUAUGGUGUACCUGUUGCUGUCGUUCACGUCAGCCCCGGCCGGGAGAACGGAGCAGCAGACGCCGUCUCGGUGGAACGGGAACUACAACCACUGCAAUGGGUGCUUGUCCUGGCUAUCGUCGGUGAGCCAGAAGAGCUCGUCUGCAUUGAAGUCAAUGUUGGAUGCCGCAGUGGACACCACCUAUCAAACUUCGCGGCGUUGAGCUGUGAGUAAAAAACAAUAUUGGUAAAGAUGGACGAGGAACAGAGUUCAGUAGUGGACUCAUGGCUGGGUGAGAUAAUUGGGGAAUUAUAAGGCAAUACGCGACACCGCUUUAUCUUGAUGAAGAAGCUGCCAUGAAAGCUAUGCCUUCUCAUAACACGAGGACAAAAGCCAAAGGGUUGCGCCUUUGAUAUGUCUCUCACCCCAAAGGGGAGAAGGGUCCAGCCUGGCCACGACGACGCACCGCUCCCAGCAGGUGCCCGACUCUAUGGACGACGGGGAUGAACGGGACCCCAAGCCCAAGCUGACGAGCACGACGAGGACAUCGCCAAGUCAGGGGAGCCUGACCUUGACUCCCCACACAAGACCGCCCAUGGCACAGACAUGACGACGACGAGGGUAGGAGGGCGCCAUAUCCGGCCGGGAAUAUGGCCUUGUCUUGCUCGAGGAAGAGGAGGGAUGCACCUAGCUGGGGGCCCUGUCCUCCUCGUGGAGGAGGGGCACACCAAGGGAUCUGCUCCUCUGCUUCCAAGGCAACCAAGGGGUCCUGCCCAAGCUCGACGAGUCCAUCCUGGCUACGACACUGCACCGCUCCCAGAAGAUCACCCAUGGCAUGGAUGCGACGGCGAUGACGGUAGGAGGGCACCUUGCAGCUGCCAGCCUUGCCCUCAUGAGGAGGAGGAUGGGCGCACAUAGCCACCAAUGGUUGUGCUCCUCAUCUUCCAAGGUGAGUGAUCAAGGG